This 1484-nucleotide ribosomal RNA is filed under the name Cathetocephalus sp. RNAcentral's name for it is "partial large subunit ribosomal RNA". It matches the Rfam family "Eukaryotic large subunit ribosomal RNA", at positions 89 to 973 of the family's 3401-position model. The record is from RNAcentral. Lineage: Eukaryota; Metazoa; Platyhelminthes; Cestoda; Cathetocephalidea; Cathetocephalidae.
GCGAGUGAAGAGGGAAUAGCCCAGCACCGAAGCCUGCGGCAGGUUUGCUGUUAGGCAAUGUGGUGUUUGGGUCGGCUCGUAGGAUUGCCACCCCACUCGAAGUCCAGCAUUGAGUAUGGUCACUGGAAUUGGCCCAAAGAGGGUGAAAGGCCCGUACGGGUGGGGGUCUCAGACAAGUAAGGCAAUUCACCAGGCCGGCCUUAGAGUCGGGUUGUUUGGGAAUGCAGCCCAAAGUGGGUGGUAAACUCCAUCCAAGGCUAAAUACAAGCACGAGUCCGAUAGCGAACAAGUACCGUGAGGGAAAGUUGAAAAGUACUUUGAAGAGAGAGUAAACAGUACGUGAAACCGCAUGCAGGUAAACGGGUGGCGUCAAGCUGCAAGCCCAGAGGAUUCAGCUGGCUAGGAUGUUGUGUAUGCGCCUGGCGCAUCUAUCAGCCGGAGUAAGAUGUUGUAGUCUACUGGUAAACGGUAGGUCUGGUCGCAAGGCUGGGCGGUGUGUACCGGGUGGAAGCCGGAGCAUGCUACACAUCUGUUGGGCUGUCUAGCUAGUGCACUUUCUCUGUGGUGUACACCACGAUCGAUGGUACUGCCAGUCUGCUGUAGUCAAGUCGUACUUGGUAGGUUCUUGUAGCCAACUGGGUGCGAUCACAGGCAAACUCGGUAGACGGCGUAGAUGUGCCUCCUCUGGCGGUGUGUCUGCGUGUUAUCGGAUACUGGUUGUCAACGGGCCUGCUGGGUUUGUGUCGUUGUAGCCGCAGCCUAGUGGUCUGGUGGACUAUGGUGGUAAGUAUAACUGUGCAGGGCAUCGGUGUUGUCGGCCUCGUAAUUAUUGCAAUUCGUAUGUACGCUACAAGUGUAUGUGGUAGUGGGGGUGGUGUUGAUGUAGUCUGCUUGUGUUGUGUCUGAUUGUCGUGUCGCCUGCGCAAAGUGGGCCCGGCAGUGGCGCAAUAUGAGAUAGGUUGCCAAUAUUGCCUUCUGUAUGAGUUGUAGUGGGCCAAAUAAUCAGUGGUGUAGUGGUAGACGAGCUACCCGACCCGUCUUGAAACACGGACCAAGGAGUUUAACAUGUAUGCAAGUCAUGGGGUCUUACGAAACCCAAAGGCGCAGUGAAAGUAAAGCUUCGACUCGUCUCGAAGUGAGGUGAGAUCCUGCCGUUUCUCACGCCGGUCUAAUCAGCAUCAGGUUAAGAGCGGCAGGCGCAUCACCGGCCCGUCCCAUGAUGUGGUCAUUGGAUGUCUGCAGUUGUUGCUGUUGCUCUUGUAGUAGUAGUGGCAGCUGUGGUGCCAGUGCAUCAUCGGGGCGGAGCAUGAGCAUACAUGUUGAGACCCGAAAGAUGGUGAACUAUGCUUGCGUAGGUUGAAGCCAGAGGAAACUCUGGUGGAGGACCGCAGCGAUUCUGACGUGCAAAUCGAUCGUCAAACGUGAGUAUAGGGGCGAAAGACUAAUCGAACCAUCUAGUAGCUGGUUCCCUCCGAAGUUUCCCU